Molecule: transfer RNA, 89 nt
Filed under: Streptosporangium pseudovulgare
Lineage: Bacteria; Bacillati; Actinomycetota; Actinomycetes; Streptosporangiales; Streptosporangiaceae
Description: tRNA-Pro
Source: RNAcentral
GGCGGCGCUGGCCGGCCGGAUCGCCGCGCGGUUCGGGACGGCGCGGGGGUUCCUGCUGUGCGAGGCGUUCGCCGCGCCGAUGCUGCUGC